RNAcentral lists this ribosomal RNA (467 nucleotides) under uncultured bacterium. Its description in RNAcentral is "partial 16S ribosomal RNA". It matches the Rfam family "Bacterial small subunit ribosomal RNA", at positions 28 to 507 of the family's 1533-position model. The record is from RNAcentral.
GACGAACGCUGGCGGCGUGCUUAACACAUGCAAGUCGAACGGAAAGGCCCUGCUUUUGUGGGGUGCUCGAGUGGCGAACGGGUGAGUAACACGUGAGUAACCUGCCCUUGACUUUGGGAUAACUUCAGGAAACUGGGGCUAAUACCGGAUAGGAGCUCCUGCUGCAUGGUGGGGGUUGGAAAGUUUCGGCGGUUGGGGAUGGACUCGCGGCUAUCAGCUUGUUGGUGGGGUAGUGGCUUACCAAGGCUUUGACGGGUAGCCGGCCUGAGAGGGUGACCGGCCACAUUGGGACUGAGAUACGGCCCAGACUCCUACGGGAGGCAGCAGUGGGGAAUAUUGCACAAUGGGCGGAAGCCUGAUGCAGCAACGCCGCGUGCGGGAUGACGGCCUUCGGGUUGUAAACCGCUUUCGCCUGCGACGAAGCGUGAGUGACGGUAAUGGGUAAAGAAGCACCGGCUAACUACGUG